UCCCUUGUAGCUCAGUUAGUAAAGAAUCUGCUUGCAAUGCAGGAGACCUGGGUUUGAUUCCUGGGUAGGGAA
RNAcentral lists this transfer RNA (72 nucleotides) under Bos taurus (domestic cattle). It matches the Rfam family "tRNA". From Rfam's summary of the family: Transfer RNA (tRNA) molecules are approximately 80 nucleotides in length. Their secondary structure includes four short double-helical elements and three loops (D, anti-codon, and T loops). RNAcentral also lists the same sequence under 5 other names. Lineage: Eukaryota; Metazoa; Chordata; Mammalia; Artiodactyla; Bovidae. The record is from Rfam by way of RNAcentral.